RNAcentral lists this ribosomal RNA (253 nucleotides) under uncultured bacterium. RNAcentral's name for it is "partial 16S ribosomal RNA". It matches the Rfam family "Bacterial small subunit ribosomal RNA", at positions 524 to 776 of the family's 1533-position model. The record is from RNAcentral.
UACGUAGGUGGCAAGCGUUGUCCGGAUUUACUGGGCGUAAAGGGCGUGCAGGCGGUCUGUUAAGUGCAGGGUGAAAGCUCCCGGCUCAACUGGGAGAGGUCCUUGCAUACUGGCGGACUUGAGGGGGGUAGAGGAAAGUGGAAUUCCCGGUGUAGUGGUGAUAUGCGUAGAUAUCGGGAGGAACACCUGUGGCGAAGGCGGGUAGCUGGGCCGACACUGACGCUGAGGCGCGAAAGCCAGGGGAGCGAACGGG